Molecule: ribosomal RNA, 253 nt
Filed under: uncultured bacterium
Lineage: Bacteria
Description: partial 16S ribosomal RNA
Rfam family: Bacterial small subunit ribosomal RNA
Source: RNAcentral
UACAGAGGGUGCGAGCGUUGUCCGGAAUCACUGGGCGUAAAGGGUGCGUAGGUGGCAUGUUAAGUUUGAUGUGAAAGCUCAGGGCUUAACCCUGAAAUGGCAUUGAAUACUAGCGUGCUGGAGGUUUGGAGGGGGGACUGGAAUUCUCGGUGUAGCAGUGAAAUGCGUAGAUAUCGAGAGGAACACCAGUGGCGAAGGCGAGUCCCUGGACAACACCUGACACUGAGGCACGAAAGCCGGGGGAGCAAACAGG